This is a non-coding RNA of Yersinia ruckeri, 102 nucleotides long. The record is from Rfam. Lineage: Bacteria; Pseudomonadati; Pseudomonadota; Gammaproteobacteria; Enterobacterales; Yersiniaceae.
AGACAGCUAAAUAAGUCUUAAUAUUAUUUUUCCUCGUCAGUCACGAAUACCUAAUUGCUGUGUGUAGUCUUUGCCUAUCGCCUAUGAUGGGCUUUUUUUUAU